RNAcentral lists this ribosomal RNA (253 nucleotides) under uncultured bacterium. RNAcentral describes it as "partial 16S ribosomal RNA". It matches the Rfam family "Bacterial small subunit ribosomal RNA", at positions 524 to 776 of the family's 1533-position model. The record is from RNAcentral.
CACGGGGGGAGCAAGCGUUGUUCGGAAUCACUGGGCGUAAAGGGCGUGUAGGCGGUCAGGUAAGUGGAAUGUGAAAGCCCUCGGCUCACCCGAGGAUCUGCAUUCCAAACUGCCUGGCUUGAGUAUGGGAGAGGAUGAGGGAAUUCCUGGUGUAGCGGUGAAAUGCGUAGAUAUCUGGAGGAAUACCGGUGGCGAAGGCGGCAUCCUGGACCGGCAUUGACGCUGAGGAGCGAAAGCUAGGGGAGCAAACGGG